This 1390-nucleotide ribosomal RNA is filed under the name metagenome. RNAcentral describes it as "bacterial LSU rRNA". It matches the Rfam family "Bacterial large subunit ribosomal RNA", at positions 1553 to 2925 of the family's 2925-position model. The record is from RNAcentral.
ACUCUGAGACGUGAUACCGAGCCGCUUCAGGCGAAGUCAUUAAUCCUAUGCUGCCUAGAAAAGCCCAGUAGCGAGUUGACAUGGUGCCCGUACCCCAAACCAACACAGGUGGACAGGUAGAGCAUACCAAGGCGAGUGGGAUAACUAUGGUUAAGGAACUCGGCAAAUUUCCUCCGUAACUUCGGGAUAAGGAGGACCCCAGCAGCGUGACGAGACUUGCUCUCCGAGCGUGAAGGGGUGGCACAAAAUUGAGGGAAGCGACUGUUUACCAAAAACACAGCAGCGUGCUAAGCCGUAAGGCGCUGUAUACGCUGUGACUCCUGCCCGGUGCUGGAAGGUUACGGGGAUGGGUUAGUCCUUCGGGACGAAGCUCUGAACCUAAGCCCCAGUAAACGGCGGCCGUAACUAUAGCGGUCCUAAGGUAGCGAAAUUCCUUGUCGGGUAAGUUCCGACCUGCACGAAUGGAGUAACGACUUCCCUACUGUCUCAACCAUAGACCCAGCGAAAUUAAGUACGAGUAAAGAUGCUCGUUAGCUGCAGAAGGACGGAAACACCCCGUGGACCUUUACUAUAACUUGAUGUUGUGUUUUGUCAUAUGUUGUGUAGGAUAGGUGGGAGACAAGGAAGCAUGGACGCUAGUCUGUGUGGAGUCAUCGUUGAAAUACCACCCUGCAUAUGGUGAGGCUCUAACCUAGACCCGUUAUCCGGGUUGGGGACAGCGUCAGGCGGGUAGUUUAACUGGGGCGGUUGCCUCCUAAAGAGUAACGGAGGCGCCCAAAGGUUCCCUCAGCCUGGUUGGCAAUCAGGCGUCGAGUGCAAUGGCAAAAGGGAGCUUGACUGCGAGACCUACAAGUCGAGCAGGAGCGAAAGCUGGGCAUAGUGAUCCGGCGGUUGCGUGUGGAAGCGCCGUCGCUCAACGGAUAAAAGGUACCCCGGGGAUAACAGGCUAAUCUUGCCCAAGCGUCCAUAGCGACGGCAAGGUUUGGCACCUCGAUGUCGGCUCAUCGCAUCCUGGGGCUGAAGCAGGUCCCAAGGGUUGGGCUGUUCGCCCAUUAAAGCGGUACGCGAGCUGGGUUCAGAACGUCGUGAGACAGUUCGGUCCCUAUCCUCUGUAGCCGUAGGUGAAUUGAGGAAAGCUGUCCCUAGUACGAGAGGACCGGGACGGACGCAGCUCUCGUGUGCCAGUUGUCCUGCCAAGGGCAUGGCUGGUUAGCGACCUGCGGAAAGGAUAACCGCUGAAAGCAUCUAAGCGGGAAGCCUCUUCCGAGAUGAAUUCACCCACAGGGUUAACCUGGUAAGGCCCGUGGUAGACCACCACGUUGAUAGGCCGGAAGUGUAAGCGAGGCAACACGUUCAGCUGACCGGUACUAAUCGGCCGAGGGCUUGAACC